RNAcentral lists this ribosomal RNA (198 nucleotides) under Triticum aestivum (bread wheat). RNAcentral's name for it is "partial small subunit ribosomal RNA". Lineage: Eukaryota; Viridiplantae; Streptophyta; Magnoliopsida; Poales; Poaceae. The record is from RNAcentral.
CCCACAUCCUUGUGACGCGGUUUGGCCUCGCUGAUCAUCCUCACAUCCUGGCGUCUCUGGAAGGCGCGGAAUGCCUGCGUAUUCAACGGAGCGACUCCCUUGAUCCCCCUCCUAGUCAACGACAUCAAGGAAGACGUCCGCGAAUGGGCCGCCGCCGGAGCCAAAGGGCUCGGCAACAUGCUCCUACCUCCGUCGUGA